Molecule: long non-coding RNA, 1798 nt
Organism: Oreochromis aureus
Lineage: Eukaryota; Metazoa; Chordata; Actinopteri; Cichliformes; Cichlidae
Exons: 3
Source: RefSeq, a predicted model, not a curated record
AGAAAUGUGCUGCACAUACCUACUCCCAUCCACACUGUAUAGCGGAUCCAAGUGUCUGAUCCAAGCUGAACCAUAAGAUGGACAUUGACAAAGCUUCUGCUGUAUUCUGCGGCUGCUUCCAGACGAUGAGGAUGAUGAGAAAAAUCAUUGCUACUAUCACAGAAAGACAAAGUAGGCUCCACCACUGCAGGGCUUGCAGGUUCUUUGUAACCACUCAUAAAGGUAAGCUUCUUUCAAUAACAAAUAUACAACCCUGUGCAUAUAUGUCUUGAGUGACUCCUUGUUUCCAUAUAUUUUGUUACGCCCUAGCACGCUCUAUUAAUGAGCUACCACUAGCUGCCACUCAGUUUGGACAAGAUCUCCAACGGCACUGGCUAUAAUGCAGCCCCACAACAUGACAAGGUCUCCACCGUGUUUUAGCUGCAGACAUCACUCCAUAAGACCUGUUGCCACUGGUUUUUAGUCUAGCUCUUGUCUUGUGUUGAGGUAUUUGGCAAACCUCAGCAUUUACUCCUUGCUCCCUUCAUUAAGAAUCGCUUUUGAAGGACAGCCAUCAUUCCAGUGAGAUCAUCCAGUGGAUGGAACAACUGAAGGGGCAGAUGGAUCUCUCAAAUCCUGUGCUGGCUCUUUGUAUAUUUUUCUAUGUCUUAAGGACAUGACUUUCAGAUACUGUUCAUUAGCUGUAGGUAAUAUUUUCUCCAGUUUCUUCACUUAUUAAGGACAAACUGGACGCCAUGCCAAGAUUGUGGUGUAGUGUUGUGUUUGGCAGGCUGAAGCUUUAUGCAGGAUUCAGAGGCAGACCUGGACUCAAAAAGCAGAUUUAUUGCUGGACUUACAGGAAAACCACAAACUAGAAAACCUGGAAACUCAGAAUGGAAUUAAUAAUCAACAAGGAGAACAAAACACGAGGGAGACACAGCAUGAUGGUGGUUGGGACAAGGAACUAAGGAAACGAUGGUCCUAAAUAUACACUUGAGGCAAACAGGGAGAUCAAACACAUACGUGGACACAGCUGAACUAAAUCAGGGAAACAAGACAGAGCAAAACUGAACACAAUUCACACAGGACAUGAGACUAUCAAAAUAAGAGACGAAGCAUAAACACAGGGAUGGGGACAGAGACUCAAGACACAGAACCCAAGACAAGGAAAGGGUAAACAAACACAGAGGCAUGACUGAGCCAAGGGAGAGAGAGCAAGCAAGGGACAGAAAGAGAGAGAGGGAGAAUGCACACGAGGAGUGACUAGCAUAGCAAGAAAUCAAGGACUAUAACCAAACUCAGAAGCACAAGAGAAUAAUACACUCAGUAACCAUAUAUAUAUAAAUCAUCUUAUACUUCUCCAAAGAAAUAACUAACAAGUCCUGUCAAACUCCAAUACUGGGUCAAAGAUAAAGAUAUGCCAAUUUCUGGCUAAUAGCUCUUUGUGUUAUCUUUGGCAUUAACUGAAAAAAAUGGCAACCAAUGAUGUUGGGGGGGUCCGACAGGCCGGUAGGAACAAAGCCCGUCAAGAUACAGUUUUAAACUGAUGCUUUGUCUGUUAUGGCAUAUUUCAUCCUUUCAGUUAGAAACCCUUUUAUAUUUGAAGGAUUCAUAGGUUAGUGAUUUAACAAACAAAAAACAUUCCUCUGAAAAUGGUCAGGUACAAGGACUGGACUCAAACUGAGUGAGAAAGCAGUCAGUGUCCAAAGAAAAACUUUGAAAGACCUUCAGAAAGUCGGAAUACUAAUGGUGAAGAUCACUUUUAGAAAAUGCAAGAAAGUCUUGUUUGUUAGGUGCAAAAUAUAAAGAAAUAAGUGGA